AGUGAACGCUGGCGGCGUGCCUAAUACAUGCAAGUCGAACGGAACUUAAAAGAGCUUGCUCUUUUAAAUUUAGUGGCGCACGGGUGAGUAAUAUAUAGCUAAUCUGCCCCUUGCUGGAGGACAACAGUUAGAAAUGACUGCUAAUACUCCAUACUCCUUUUUACCAUAAGAUAAAUCGGGAAAGAAUUUCGGCAAGGGAUGAGACUAUAUCGUAUCAGCUAGUCGGUGGGGUAACGGCCUACCGAGGCUAUGACGCGUAACUGGUCUGAGAGGAUGAUCAGUCACAUUGGAACUGAGACACGGUCCAAACUCCUACGGGAGGCAGCAGUAGGGAAUAUUGCGCAAUGGGGGAAACCCUGACGCAGCAACGCCGCGUGGAGGAUAACACUUUUCGGAGCGUAAACUCCUUUUGUUAGGGAAGAAUAAUGACGGUACCUAACGA
RNAcentral lists this ribosomal RNA (442 nucleotides) under Campylobacter gracilis. RNAcentral describes it as "bacterial SSU rRNA". It matches the Rfam family "Bacterial small subunit ribosomal RNA", at positions 29 to 485 of the family's 1533-position model. The record is from RNAcentral. Lineage: Bacteria; Pseudomonadati; Campylobacterota; Epsilonproteobacteria; Campylobacterales; Campylobacteraceae.